Molecule: long non-coding RNA, 4480 nt
Organism: Beta vulgaris subsp. vulgaris (sugar beet)
Lineage: Eukaryota; Viridiplantae; Streptophyta; Magnoliopsida; Caryophyllales; Amaranthaceae
Exons: 2
Source: RefSeq, a predicted model, not a curated record
UCUAUUUUUCGAUUUUUCCAACUUUUCCUCCCUUCCAGCUUUUCUUUCUUCCAACUUUUCCUCUUUCUCUAUCUUUCGCUAUUCUCUAUCCCAUUUUUCUCCCCUUCAUGAUUCUCAGCACCUCCAUGAUCAUCUUCUUCGCCUAACUCCACUGCUCCACAAAAUCUGACUUUCUUGGCAUCAAUUUCCUCACCAUUGCUUGCGUUUUCUCUCCCCUUUGUAACUUUUUUCUAAUUUUCCACUUUCGAGGUAACAUCAUCAACAUCAAUUUUUAGGGUUUUGGCAUUGAUUUCUUCAUAAUCGAUCGUAUUUUCUCUUUCAUCUGCAACUUUCUUCGGAUUAUCAACACGCAUUUCGCAAGAAUUGUUAAUCCCUAUAUAUUCUUCCAAAUUUUCUUCCAAACUGAACAUUGUUUUCAUUCAAUGCUUUGAACCCCUCUUGCUUGUCCUGCUCACGUCUCCCUUCAUCGCUGCGUCUUCUUUGCUCAUCGGUCCUUCAAAAUCAGAAAUUGAUGAAGUAGUGGGGAAAAUCACGAGGAAGAAGUUUUAAGGGUUUGGGGUUCUUAAAGGAGUUUUUGAAAUCAUACGAUUCGUCAACUGGAUUUUCAGAAUUAUGUACGAAGUCAGUGAUUUCGAGGAAGUCGAUCUCUCACAAGUUUCUCGUUUACUCUCUUCUUCUACUUCUGAUACUGUUGCUCACUUAAUUGCCCAAAAUCAGAAGGUCGCAACAACAAAGAAAGUUGGGAGAAAGCCUGAAAGACGGCUUCGUAAUGAUCCAGAUAUAGCUUUUGAUUCUUUGAAAAUUGAUAAUUCGCAACACAAAUUAGUGAUUGAUAAUGUGUUAGGUUGUACGUAGUAUAGUGAACAAAUUUAAUGAUUAUGGUAAUGUAAAUGGUAAGUUAGUUGGUAUUGUUGGAAAUGGUGGAUUGGACAUACUUGAAUCGCGGAUUGAAUUUUGAUGAUGGAGUUGAUAAUGUGGAAAUUAGGGGUUGUAUUGACUUAAAUUUAAGAGUAGAUGAUGAUUAUGGGGUUGAUGAGAAUGACACUAGGAUUGAAAAGGUUGGUUCUUUAGGGAAGGAAGAACGUAGGUUCGAUUUAGGGCUCAAUGAGGAGAGCAUGAAUGGAGAGAAUGGGACAAUGGAUGCGGGUGCAUGUAUAGGCUUAGGUGAAUUGAAAAAUAGGGAUACCAGUGUUGUUGCUGCUAACCAUGUUAAUUGUACGAUUUGUGAUGCUCAAUUGGAAGGGGAUCGUUUGGAGGAUGGAAAUUGUGGUAGGAAGAAGAAGAGAAAAGUCAAGAGGAAUUUGAAUUCACCAAUAUAAACUAUGUUGAGAAGCAAGAAGUGCACAUCAAGCAAAAGUUGUUGUUGCGGAUGAAAUUUUAGCUUGCUCAUUGGUCCUUUUCUCUCUCCUCUCGUUUUGUUGUUUGUUUGUUGUUGUUAUUCAAUUUUACGGUUGAAUCCUCUGAUUUUUGUUUGUGUGUUGAAUUUUGUAGUGAUUUGAGUGAGAUACUUGAUGCGUACGAAAGAGAUGAUAAGUUUUUCUUGUAUACUGGUCGAGGACCUUCCUCUGAAGCGCUGCAUGCCUGCAUUUAGGGCAUUUGGUCCCUUUCAUGUUCAUCAGUACCAUUUUCACUCCAUAUUCACUUUCUCAAUCUUCUUCUUCUCUCUCCUCCUUUUCCUAUUCCUUUGUAAUUGAAACUUGAGGGCUUUAUAAUGAAAUGGAAAAUGAAAUAAUCCAAAAAUUAGGCCUUUGCAAUUAAUCAAGAAAUCUUUUCUAUGCUUUAGUCUGGAAAAAAAAAAUAGUUGUUGUUGAACUCUCGUAUGGCUUUUGAACUCAAAUGCCAUUUUCAAAGAAAACCCCCUUUUCUAAUUGUCUUGACUCUUGAGUUUUGUUUAUGAUCACAUCCUUAUUUUGUUUGGUGAUUUCUAAGUUUUGUAAUUAAUUGUUCUAGAAUUAAUGGAAUUUUUUAUGCUUGAAGCCCGGGUUUUAAAGUUAGGGCUUGGAAUUUUGGCUCACUUUUGCUGUAAUUGAAGAAAUAUGGGAAGUGAGAGAUGACAUGUUAAGUUGUGAUGUAUCAAUAACCAAGUAAGAUGUAGGUGAUGAAUGGUACAAUGGAGAGGGGGAUGUGGUGCUGAUUCUGAAUAAUAAGAAGCUUCUUGCAAAGUAUGUUUUCUAAAAAUAAAAAAGAACUAACUAAUUUGUAGUUGUUUUCUCUUUAUAUUGGUCCAAUGCUUUUUCAUGUUUCAGAUGCUUAGAAUAUGAGAAGGCUAAAGAAGAGCUCAAUUAUAAGGUUUAUAUUUCAUUUUCCCCUCCUCUCCAAAAAUGGAUUUCAUCCACUCAGACGUUAAAGCUACUACAAUGACGACUAGGUUUUAUCGAAAGUACUUUAUCUGUUGAGUAACACUGACCCGAGUUAGGAGGGAGCUUAUUUUUAUAUAUGUUAAUUUUCUUGAUUUUUCCUUGUUGGCCUCUGCCUCUGGAAUAUGAAAAUAAACAGGUUUAAGAAAAUAGGUAUUGGAGGUUGAUUUUUUUGGAAGGUUUAGUUCCUCUCCUUGAGAAAGAGAGAUGGUAACGACAUACAUGAAUAUUUACUCGUUGAAUUUCUGUUUGAUACUUUUACUUGCACUCAGGCCCGUCCUUCAGGCUGGACAGGAGGGGCGCCUACCCAGGGCCCAAGAAAAGGUAGCCCAAAUUUAUUAAAGCAGUUUUUUUUUUUUUUAAAUUCAGUUCAAAGAAAAACGCGUGUGAGACGUUUUUCUCAUAUUCUUCAACCUUCCUUUAUUACUCUCAUUCAAUUACUACUCCUUGUUUCUCUCAAAAUCGUUUCAUAUCCUCCAAUUACCAAAUAAAUUUUGAAAAAUUUCCAAGUUUAAAUUAAAUUCUUGAACUAAUUCCUUCUUUUCAGUUUUCCAUAUUCUGAAAAUCUCAACAUUUUUAAUUUUUUCUUUCCCAAUUUCCAUCCUCAAUCAAUCUCCGAAUUCUCUUAAUUGAUCUUCACAAUUGAAGAUGAUUUCCCCCAUAAACGGCUAUUUUGUAUUAAAAUUUCUAACGGGAUUUAUAUUUCAUAUAAGUAAAACUCCUAUGAACUUUAUAUCUCACCAAUUUCCAUUCUUUCUUCCUAUUCUUCUCACAAUUAUUGGGUUCAAAAUUUUGAUAAUUUGGCAAAUUUGGGAGUUUAUCUGUUCGAAUUUUACUGUAUGUUACUUCGUGAAGUGCCGAAGUUUUAAUUUGGUAGACAAAGAAUCGAAGAUUCGAAGGGAGUAAUUGGGUAAACAAUAGAAAAAUCUGGACGGUUGGCUACUUCAUCUUCAACGAUUUGGUGCCUGUGACCGUUGCAUCGGCCGAAAGAAGCUUUUCAAAACUGAAGUUAAUAAAAACCUAUUAAGAUCAUCAAUGGCGCAAAAGAGGUUGAACGGUUUGGCAACAUUAUCGUUGAGAAGGAUAUGCUGGAAAACAUUGAUCUUGAUGUAAUUAUAAAUGACUUUGCAUCUCAAAAUGCUUGAAGAAGCCGCUUUGUAUGAUUUUUAAGAAAGAGAUAGGUUUUUUUUUUUUAUAUUUUUUAAAAGUUCUUUUAUGUAUUAAGACUUGUUAUGCUAAAUAAAUUUUUUUUUUGGUCCAUUAUUGAAUUUUAUUCAAAUCAUAGAAACGGUAAGGGGACUCAUUUUUCACACUUCGCAUAGGGCCCAUAAAAUGUCAGGAACGGGGUUGCUUGCACUUUGUUAGGAAAGUGGGAAUUGACACGUGGAGGCCCAGGUAUGAAUUUGGUUUAGCAUGUAUAUGUAAGCAUGUCGUGCUGUACUUAGGUUUGCAUAUUUGGAGGCUAUCGUUUUUGGUGGACUGUUGUGAAAUCUAUGUAGCUAUUGCUGAAUUGUUCAUAGUAUUGUCGGAGUUUAUGACUUUAUGAUCAUUGUAGCCUUUGUCAUAAUUUUCUUAUUGGUUCUUAGCUUCUCAUAAAUGAAAUUUUAGGAACUAUUAGAGCCCUGAAAGAGUCUGCAAGGACUUCGCUUUGUAAGCAUGAAUAAAGUUGAUAAUGUGGGAUUUCAUCCUUUAUCAUUGGCCAGGUCAACUGUUUAAAUGUAUGCUACACUAACUUUGCUAAUUGAGCUACCAAAUUCCAAUUACUUAUUGUUUGAAAUGCAGGGUACACUACAUUGGAUACAUUAAGCUCCUAUGGUUUUGAAUUUCCUUACUAAAACUUGUAGGGUUUUUAGCCAUAAUUUUGCUGCUUAGGUAACUUAUUAGUACAGAAAUAGCCUAAAACAUGUAAUACAUUCGGGACACUUGUCACAACCCACAGGCUAAACCAACAAGAAUAAGCGUCAAGGUGCUUCCACAGGGAUGUUAUAUAUUAGGAACUCUUUUUAUGUUUAAGCUUGAAGAGUAACGUUUUCUGUGGGAACUAAUAUAGUAUAUGUUCAAUUUCUGUAUAAGGAAAGUUCUGACCUUAUGCUAAGCUCAUCCUCUUGGAGGCUUCUGGAUAC